UCUAAGAUCUCAGAAGAUUUCACUCUGGCAACACAUCCUCUACAACAGGUUUUAAUCUGAAUUAAUCGCGUUAAUGGUGAGUCACUACAACUGAAUUCUUUGUUUUCUGUUUGGGUCCUGAGAAUUUUGGGGGUUUUCAAUUUUGGGGUUUUCAAUUUUAGGGUUUUAAUUAUAGAUGGGUGGAGAUUUGGGGAUACCUGCGUUCCCUGAAGAAGACUGCAUUCUUCAAGAGUGAGAUUCAGAGGAGGUUGUUUGUGAUGGCAGUACUGAUCAAUUGUGAUUAGUCGUGUUGGUUAUUUCAUUCCUCUGCCUGGGUUUGAUAGAAGGUUAAUACCUCAGGAUCAGUUGGGUCAUCCAUGUUGUUUAUUUGCAGAUGAGCUCGGUGAUUUUACAGCUGAGCUUAAAAUGUCCUUGUUCCAGCUUGGAAUCAGUCCUCAAAUUAUAGCAUCGAUUAUAAUCACUCCUCCCUCUCUCUCUCUCGUCUGUGCUUUUCUCUCUUGUCUAAUGAACUAGACGAAUGCAAUAGCUAAACAAGGUUCUUUUGCGAAAGGCUAGGAACCAGUAUACUUGGAAAGGGUUUGGGGCAAUCCCUAAUGCUUUACAGGAGCUAAAGGAAGAGGGUCUGAAAGAGAACUUCAAUACUUUCCAAGGCAAUUUCCAGGGCAAUGAUGAUCCAAAAUGUUCGCAGGGUUCAGAUGAUGAGAGUGGU
Rosa chinensis is the source of this 709-nucleotide long non-coding RNA. RefSeq lists it as uncharacterized. The transcript has 5 exons. Lineage: Eukaryota; Viridiplantae; Streptophyta; Magnoliopsida; Rosales; Rosaceae. The record is from RefSeq and is a predicted model, not a curated record.